Molecule: ribosomal RNA, 392 nt
Filed under: Dorymenia sp. l KMK-2022
Lineage: Eukaryota; Metazoa; Mollusca; Solenogastres; Cavibelonia; Proneomeniidae
Description: partial large subunit ribosomal RNA
Rfam family: Bacterial large subunit ribosomal RNA
Source: RNAcentral
AGGCCUGCCCAGUGGGGGUCACCCUAAACGGCCGCAGAAUUUUAACUGUGCUAAGGUAGCAUAAUCACUUGUCUUUUAAUUGAGGACUUGCAUGAACGGCUUAACGAAAUAUAACUCUAUCAAAUAUAUUAAAUAAAAUUUAAUUUUAAAGUUAAAAAGCUUUAAUCUAAUAAAAAGACAAAAAGACCCUAUAGAGUUUAAUUUUAAUAUUUAUCUAUAAACUAAUAAAAUUUGGUUGGGGCAACCAAGAGAAACUAAAUUUCUCUAUAAAAAAACUAUAUAAUCUAUCAUUUAUUUAAUAACACAAAAUAAAUUACCUUAGGGAUAACAGCAUAACUUUCUUUGAGAGUUCAAAUCGAAAAGAAAAAUUAUGACCUCGAUGUUGGAUUAAA